Molecule: ribosomal RNA, 1392 nt
Filed under: Bacillus sp. A3(2013)
Lineage: Bacteria; Bacillati; Bacillota; Bacilli; Caryophanales; Bacillaceae
Description: partial 16S ribosomal RNA
Rfam family: Bacterial small subunit ribosomal RNA
Source: RNAcentral
AAGGGAUUUUCUCCCGGAUUAUAAGGCGGGGACGGGUGAUAACCCUGUGGUAACCUCGCUGAAAAGUUGGGUAAAUCCGGGAAACCGGGGUUUAUACCCGGGAUUGUCUCUUGAACCCCCAGUGUCAAAGGGUAAAAACGGUUUUGGGUGUCAAUUACAAGAUGGCCCCGGGGCGCUUUAGCUAGUGUGUGAGGUAACGGCUUCACCAAGGCGAACGAUGCGUAGCCGACCUGAGAGGGUGAUCGGCCACACUGGGACUGAGACACGGCCCAGAUUCCUACGGGAGGCAGCAGUAGGGAAUCUUCCGCAAUGGACGAAAGUCUGACGGAGCAACGCCGCGUGAGUGAUGAAGGUUUUCGGAUCGUAAAGCUCUGUUGUUAGGGAAGAACAAGUGCAAGAGUAACUGCUUGCACCUUGACGGUACCUAACCAGAAAGCCACGGCUAACUACGUGCCAGCAGCCGCGGUAAUACGUAGGUGGCAAGCGUUGUCCGGAAUUAUUGGGCGUAAAGGGCUCGCAGGCGGUUUCUUAAGUCUGAUGUGAAAGCCCCCGGCUCAACCGGGGAGGGUCAUUGGAAACUGGGAAACUUGAGUGCAGAAGAGGAGAGUGGAAUUCCACGUGUAGCGGUGAAAUGCGUAGAGAUGUGGAGGAACACCAGUGGCGAAGGCGACUCUCUGGUCUGUAACUGACGCUGAGGAGCGAAAGCGUGGGGAGCGAACAGGAUUAGAUACCCUGGUAGUCCACGCCGUAAACGAUGAGUGCUAAGUGUUAGGGGGUUUCCGCCCCUUAGUGCUGCAGCUAACGCAUUAAGCACUCCGCCUGGGGAGUACGGUCGCAAGACUGAAACUCAAAGGAAUUGACGGGGGCCCGCACAAGCGGUGGAGCAUGUGGUUUAAUUCGAAGCAACGCGAAGAACCUUACCAGGUCUUGACAUCCUCUGACAACCCUAGAGAUAGGGCUUUCCCUUCGGGGACAGAGUGACAGGUGGUGCAUGGUUGUCGUCAGCUCGUGUCGUGAGAUGUUGGGUUAAGUCCCGCAACGAGCGCAACCCUUGAUCUUAGUUGCCAGCAUUCAGUUGGGCACUCUAAGGUGACUGCCGGUGACAAACCGGAGGAAGGUGGGGAUGACGUCAAAUCAUCAUGCCCCUUAUGACCUGGGCUACACACGUGCUACAAUGGACAGAACAAAGGGCUGCGAGACCGCAAGGUUUAGCCAAUCCCACAAAUCUGUUCUCAGUUCGGAUCGCAGUCUGCAACUCGACUGCGUGAAGCUGGAAUCGCUAGUAAUCGCGGAUCAGCAUGCCGCGGUGAAUACGUUCCCGGGCCUUGUACACACCGCCCGUCACACCACGAGAGUUUGCAACACCCGAAGUCGCCGAGGUAACCUAAGUCG